GGUGACGAGCGGCGGACGGGUGAGUAAUGUCUGGGAAACUGCCUGAUGGAGGGGGAUAACUACUGGAAACGGUAGCUAAUACCGCAUAACGUCGCAAGACCAAAGUGGGGGACCUUCGGGCCUCAUGCCAUCAGAUGUGCCCAGAUGGGAUUAGCUAGUAGGUGGGGUAAUGGCUCACCUAGGCGACGAUCCCUAGCUGGUCUGAGAGGAUGACCAGCCACACUGGAACUGAGACACGGUCCAGACUCCUACGGGAGGCAGCAGUGGGGAAUAUUGCACAAUGGGCGCAAGCCUGAUGCAGCCAUGCCGCGUGUAUGAAGAAGGCCUUCGGGUUGUAAAGUACUUUCAGCGAGGAGGAAGGCAUUAAGGUUAAUAACCUUAGUGAUUGACGUUACUCGCAGAAGAAGCACCGGCUAACUCCGUGCCAGCAGCCGCGGUAAUACGGAGGGUGCAAGCGUUAAUCGGAAUUACUGGGCGUAAAGCGCACGCAGGCGGUUUGUUAAGUCAGAUGUGAAAUCCCCGGGCUCAACCUGGGAACUGCAUUUGAAACUGGCAAGCUUGAGUCUUGUAGAGGGGGGUAGAAUUCCAGGUGUAGCGGUGAAAUGCGUAGAGAUCUGGAGGAAUACCGGUGGCGAAGGCGGCCCCC
This 646-nucleotide ribosomal RNA is filed under the name Raoultella sp. RNAcentral's name for it is "bacterial SSU rRNA". It matches the Rfam family "Bacterial small subunit ribosomal RNA", at positions 87 to 729 of the family's 1533-position model. The record is from RNAcentral. Lineage: Bacteria; Pseudomonadati; Pseudomonadota; Gammaproteobacteria; Enterobacterales; Enterobacteriaceae.